AGACCCGAAACCCGGUGAUCUAGCCAUGGGCAGGUUGAAGGUUGGGUAACACUAACUGGAGGACCGAACCGACUAAUGUUGAAAAAUUAGCGGAUGACCUGUGGCUGGGGGUGAAAGGCCAAUCAAACCGGGAGAUAGCUGGUUCUCCCCGAAAGCUAUUUAGGUAGCGCCUCGUGAAUUCAUCUCCGGGGGUAGAGCACUGUUUCGGCUAGGGGGCCAUCCCGGCUUACCAACCCGAUGCAAACUGCGAAUACCGGAGAAUGUUAUCACGGGAGACACACGGCGGGUGCUAACGUCCGUCGUGAAGAGGGAAACAACCCAGACCGCCAGCUAAGGUCCCAAAGUCAUGGUUAAGUGGGAAACGAUGUGGGAAGGCCCAGACAGCCAGGAUGUUGGCUUAGAAGCAGCCAUCAUUUAAAGAAAGCGUAAUAGCUCACUGGUCGAGUCGGCCUGCGCGGAAGAUGUAACGGGGCUAAACCAUGCACCGAAGCUGCGGCAGCGAACGUAUCACUUAAAGCGAUUCAGCGGGUUACGAUUGACGGAGCGAAGCGACGUCAAAGCGUAUACAAAGUCGAGUCGGUUUAAGGAUACGUUCGUUGGGUAGGGGAGCGUUCUGUAAGCCUGUGAAGGUGGCCUGUGAGGGUUG
RNAcentral lists this ribosomal RNA (646 nucleotides) under Salmonella enterica. RNAcentral describes it as "partial 23S ribosomal RNA". It matches the Rfam family "Bacterial large subunit ribosomal RNA", at positions 711 to 1272 of the family's 2925-position model. Lineage: Bacteria; Pseudomonadati; Pseudomonadota; Gammaproteobacteria; Enterobacterales; Enterobacteriaceae. The record is from RNAcentral. RNAcentral also lists the same sequence under 2 other names.